RNAcentral lists this ribosomal RNA (403 nucleotides) under Verrucomicrobiota bacterium. RNAcentral describes it as "Verrucomicrobia bacterium partial 16S ribosomal RNA". It matches the Rfam family "Bacterial small subunit ribosomal RNA", at positions 355 to 776 of the family's 1533-position model. The record is from RNAcentral. Lineage: Bacteria; Pseudomonadati; Verrucomicrobiota.
UGGGGAAUAUUGCACAAUGGGGGAAACCCUGAUGCAGCGAUGCCGCGUGAGCGAAGAAGGUCUUCGAAUCGUAAAGCCCUGUCCUAUGAGAAGAUAAUGACGGUAUCAUAGGAGGAAGCCCCGGCUAAAUACGUGCCAGCAGCCGCGGUAAUACGUAUGGGGCGAGCGUUGUCCGGAAUUAUUGGGCGUAAAGGGUACGUAGGCGGUCUAUUAAGUCAGGUGUGAAAGCGUGAGGCUUAACCUCAUUAAGCACUUGAAACUGAUAGACUUGAGUUAAGGAGAGGAAAGUGGAAUUCCUAGUGUAGCGGUGAAAUGCGUAGAUAUUAGGAGGAAUACCGGUGGCGAAGGCGACUUUCUGGACUUUUACUGACGCUCAGGUACGAAAGCGUGGGGAGCAAACAGG